Molecule: long non-coding RNA, 337 nt
Organism: Helianthus annuus (common sunflower)
Lineage: Eukaryota; Viridiplantae; Streptophyta; Magnoliopsida; Asterales; Asteraceae
Exons: 2
Source: RefSeq, a predicted model, not a curated record
UUUGACUCUUGACAAGCUAGAUGGAGGCUUGGAAUGAAGCGGGUCAAACGGAGCAAGUACGAAAAGGAAAGCGUAAUUUGGAUGCGAGUCUUAGGUACUCAAGGAUUAUGGGUGACGAUCAAGCAACUUUUGAAGGACCGAACACAUACUCUUGAAGCUUCCGCAUAAAUCAAGUCGGUUUAAACAAUGUUUAUGAUGUAAACUGUUUGCUAUACAACUUUUGAAAUGUUUAAACGACGUACUCAAUUAUGUUAUGUUGUAUUAUUUUAAAAUUGUAACGUUUAAACAAACCCGUAUUUUUACAAAGUAUAUGUAGUCAUAAUUACAUGUUGUUUGU